UUUCGCGUUCUACCACGACGCCCGGCCCCCGAGAAGCGCACGUACGCUGUAUGUAAAAGAAGCCUGUAAGGCUGUUGCAGCAAUAUGAGUGUUACCCGGCCGGCGCGGCGGCCCCGCAACGCAGUGAGGGCCUGCGGCUUGACGCUGGUGACAUCAUCGCUUACGUGAGACAGAGGAUAACAAUAGUUUUUAAAAAUUUGCUUUUAUGUGCUUUCAUUAAUACUAAUAAAGAUGUUAUAAAUUUAUCA
Molecule: unclassified non-coding RNA, 248 nt
Filed under: Melitaea cinxia (Glanville fritillary)
Lineage: Eukaryota; Metazoa; Arthropoda; Insecta; Lepidoptera; Nymphalidae
Description: misc RNA ENSMCXG00005013210.1
Source: RNAcentral